Molecule: ribosomal RNA, 484 nt
Filed under: uncultured bacterium
Lineage: Bacteria
Description: partial 16S ribosomal RNA
Rfam family: Bacterial small subunit ribosomal RNA
Source: RNAcentral
AUUGAACGCUGGCGGCAGGCCUAAAACAUGCAAGUCGAGCGGAUGAAGGGAGCUUGCUCCUGGAUUCAGCGGCGGACGGGGGAGUAAUGCCUAGGAAUCUGCCUGGUAGGGGGGGAUAACGUCCGGAAACGGGCGCUAAUACCGCAUACGUCCUGAGGGAGAAAGGGGGGGAUCUUCGGACCUCACGCUAUCAGAUGAGCCUAGGUCGGAUUAGCUAGUUGGUGGGGUAAAGGCCUACCAAGGCGACGAUCCGUAACUGGUCUGAGAGGAUGAUCAGUCACACUGGAACUGAGACACGGUCCAGACUCCUACGGGAGGCAGCAGUGGGGAAUAUUGGACAAUGGGCGAAAGCCUGAUCCAGCCAUGCCGCGUGUGUGAAGAAGGUCUUCGGAUUGUAAAGCACUUUAAGUUGGGAGGAAGGGCAGUAAGUUAAUACCUUGCUGUUUUGACGUUACCAACAGAAUAAGCACCGGCUAACUUCGUG